UGAUGUAGCUCAGUCGGUAGAGCGCAUCCUUGGUAAGGAUGAGGUCGCCGGUUCAAAUCCGGCCAUCA
Molecule: transfer RNA, 68 nt
Filed under: bovine gut metagenome
Rfam family: tRNA
About the family: Transfer RNA (tRNA) molecules are approximately 80 nucleotides in length. Their secondary structure includes four short double-helical elements and three loops (D, anti-codon, and T loops). Further hydrogen bonds mediate the characteristic L-shaped molecular structure. tRNAs have two regions of fundamental functional importance: the anti-codon, which is responsible for specific mRNA codon recognition, and the 3' end, to which the tRNAs corresponding amino acid is attached (by aminoacyl-tRNA synthetases). tRNAs cope with the degeneracy of the genetic code in two manners: having more than one tRNA (with a specific anti-codon) for a particular amino acid; and 'wobble' base-pairing, i.e. permitting non-standard base-pairing at the 3rd anti-codon position.
Source: RNAcentral